RNAcentral lists this ribosomal RNA (274 nucleotides) under uncultured bacterium. Its description in RNAcentral is "partial 16S ribosomal RNA". It matches the Rfam family "Bacterial small subunit ribosomal RNA", at positions 523 to 796 of the family's 1533-position model. The record is from RNAcentral.
AUACGGAGGGUGCAAGCGUUAUCCGGAAUCAUUGGGUUUAAAGGGUCCGUAGGCGGACUAAUAAGUCAGGGGUGAAAUCCCACAGCUUAACUGUGGAACUGCCUUUGAUACUGUUAGUCUUGAGUUAUAUGGAAGUAGAUAGAAUGUGUAGUGUAGCGGUGAAAUGCUUAGAGAUUACACAGAAUACUGAUUGCGAAGGCAGUCUACUACAUAUAUACUGACGCUAAUGGACGAAAGCGUGGGGAGCGAACAGGAUUAGAAACCCUAGUAGUCC